GACUGCCGGUGUUAAGCCGGAGAAGUGGGAUGACGUCAAGUCCUCAUGGCCUUUAUGCCCAGGGCUACACACGUGCUACAAUGGGCGGUACAAAGAGAAGCAACCUCGCGAGGGUGAGCAAAUCUCAAAAAGCCGUUCUCAGUUCGGAUUGAAGUCUGCAACUCGACUUCAUGAAGUCGGAAUCGCUAGUAAUCGCGGAUCAGCAUGCCGCGGUCGAAUACGUUCCCGGGCCUU
Molecule: ribosomal RNA, 234 nt
Filed under: uncultured Syntrophaceae bacterium
Lineage: Bacteria; Pseudomonadati; Thermodesulfobacteriota; Syntrophia; Syntrophales; Syntrophaceae
Description: partial 16S ribosomal RNA
Rfam family: Bacterial small subunit ribosomal RNA
Source: RNAcentral